Molecule: transfer RNA, 71 nt
Filed under: Dagualachesilla anchicayaensis
Lineage: Eukaryota; Metazoa; Arthropoda; Insecta; Psocodea; Sphaeropsocidae
Description: tRNA-Arg
Source: RNAcentral
UAGUAAGAAGCAAAAAUUUUUGCAUUUAGUUUCGACCUAAAAAUUUAGUUAUUAACUCUACUAUUUACAAA